Nymphaea colorata (pocket water lily) is the source of this 3233-nucleotide long non-coding RNA. RefSeq lists it as uncharacterized. The record is from RefSeq and is a predicted model, not a curated record. NCBI's taxonomy places the organism in Eukaryota, Viridiplantae, Streptophyta, Magnoliopsida, Nymphaeales, Nymphaeaceae. The transcript is spliced from 8 exons.
CUUGAGCAAAAACCUGAGAUAUUUCUGAUGGAGUACUUCAGCCUUGACAUAGAUCAAGAAGGGAACUUGUCCAACUGGUCAGUACACACCUGAUAUCAAUAAGAGAUCGUCUGCCACAGUUUGUUUGGAGAACAGUCUUCAGGGCAUAAUGUGGUGGCAUACUGUUUGAACUUGCAUUAGAUUCUUCUCCUUUCUUUUGGCCUUUUUCCUUAUGAACUAAUCCAACCUUUCCCUUUGGGGAACAGGAGAGAACUGCGCCACUAUAUCUUGCUCUUAAACUUUUCACCCAAGGUCUUUGAGAUGAAAGCUUAAUAUUUUCCACCAAAGGAGGGUGUGAUCUUGCAAAAUGAAGAACCCGCAGACUUGUAUAUUCUGGUCAUUGAUGCUGUUGUAUACCUCUGAAAUUACUCCAUAUGAUCUGCCACAACUUUUAACCUUAUCUGUGUGCUAAGGUCAGUUGUUUUUUCGGUCAUUAUAGGGCAAUCCAUUGUUCGCCUUACUUCAAUGAAGCCCAUCUUCAGUAUUUAUGAAUAUCUUUACGCAUGACUAAUUUCUUUGUUGAAUUGUUACUUGUCCCAAUUCUGUGAAGAGGUAUGGAGUUAUUGAAUGCCCACUUGCAUUGUAUGUGAAGUGCUUGAUGCAACAAUAAGUUGCCUACUCAUUCCUUAUUUUUUUAAUCAGGCGCUGACCUUUCUGUUCUUGUGAGUUGACUAUAAUGGAUCGCUCAUUUUAAUUUUAAAUGUUUGUUAGAAUGUCGAACUUUAAUAUGAAGUGAAUUUUGUGAAUAGUCAUAUAUGAAGAAUUGAUGCAUGCUUUUUUCAUUGUUAUUUCGAGUUUUACCCAAAAGUGUGCUAACAUGAAAAAUCUCGUGUCAAAUGUAAACUCAAUGCGUGUUUGUUCUUCAAACAGUGAAAUACCUGUAGGAUAUACAGAGGCAUUUUGUUAUUUCCUAGACACUAUGUUUUUGGUUACCACAUUAUUUCUUUAUUCUGCUUCACACUCUGAUGACCGUGGGUACCAGAUCCUACCUACAGCAUGUUGAUCUCGCCUCAACUAGUUGGCUGACAGUCAUCUUUUAGGUGCGUAGGAGGUUAACAAUCACAGCUCGAAUAAAAAACCUGAAGGUCUCCCAUUCUGCUUGCCUCGAGGUCCUGGCCUGACAGUCAUCUUCACAAAUAAAUCUUUGAUACCGAUUUUGUUAGCAACGAUGGGACGAUAGGAGUACAACUGUGGUAGCAGGACUGCUUGGUGGAGGUUGCAUCAUAAUUUACAGUAAUAUUCUAUGUUGAAUUUAUUGAUGUGUGCUUGGGAGUUGAAUUUAUUUUUGUUUUGGAAUAUCGCUUAUGUUAAUGGCGAGUGACUGAAGUUGCUUGAUAGUUGUCUAUAAUUUUUUUUCAUUGUUGUGAACUUUAUACAGUAUUUGGGAAAAUAGUGCAGGCAUAUUGUUAUUAUAAUAAUAAAAAAAGUUACCAGUAUAGUUAUUGGCGCAAUGGUAGUCCAGCGCUACCAUGGUAGUUCAUUUGUUUCAGCGAUCCUGACAGAUGAUUGCAUCAUGUAAAUGUUGAGAGUUUUUGCUCUCUCUCUAAAUUCGCCCAUCACGCUCCACAUUCAUCCGUUCAUCAACACCCACAAGAAGUUAUGGAGAGGAAAAAGUUUACUGAGUCCACAGAUAUCCGGGGGAAAUCGUUCACAUUCUUUCCUUUUGAUGUCUAUAUAUAGCCUCAUUUAUUUCCACACAUUGGCAGCUAAACAAAGGCAGCAGAAGAUAUGGCCGAGAACAGAGAAUCCUUUCUCCUCCUCCUCUGUUCCAUCAUUUUCAUUACUGUUCCACCGGCUUAUGGGUGGGGAAAGGAUGCGCAUUUCAUCAUUGGCAGAAUAGCUCAAGCGAGGCUGAGUGAGAAAACAGCUGCAGCAGUGAACGAUCUGCUGGUGCUUGUGCUUGUGGGCCGACCAUGUGAAGUUCAGGUUUUCGUGGUCGUCUCCCCUUCACUACAUCGAUACGCCAGACUCCCUGUGCACUUUUGCCUAUAAGAGGGACUGCAAAAAUGAAGCAGGAGAAGCAGAUAUGUGUGUUGCUGGUGGAAUAAAAAACUACACACGCCAACUCGAGGCCUACUCGGACUCGUCUCUUCGAUCGCAAUGAGACGUGCACCAGGUUUGACACUCGAAUCUGCUGUUAUAGUUUGCUCGAGUUCCAGUUUUUUAUUGAUUUCACUUUAAUUACUACAAACAAGGGAGGCAACAUCAUCGACGUAAAGUGGUUCACAAGGAAGACCGUUCUCCAUCACGUCUGGGAUGACAGCCUGAUCGAGACGGCAGUAGAGAGAUUCUAUGGCUCAGAUGUAGAGAGCCUGUUAGAUGCAAUUCAAAGUAAUAUUACGGGGGCCUGGGCUGGCAGAAUUGAUGGAUGGGAAUAAUGCAGCCGUGGCUUCACUGCUUGUCCUGAUGGGUACAUAUAUCAUCAUUCCCGCAUAUGUAAUAUUACCCUGCUCAUGGCUUCUCACUUUUAAAUCUUACGAAGCUAUUUUGUGCGGGGACAGCAACAGUCGCCGGUUUCUGUGCAAUUGCGGGUUGAAACUUAAACGUGACUUCUGUUUUGCUGUUAUGCGUCUGAAAGUAUUACUGCGGUCUGUAAUUUUUUUUUUGGUACAACUGCGGUCUGUAAUUUUGCUUACAAGGAUGUCGACGAAGGUUCACUCUUGGAAGAUUACUUUUUGUCUCGUCUACCCACUGUCUACUUGCGUCUGGCCGAAGCUGGAGUUCGAUUGGCUGCAACUCUCAAUCGUGCUCUAGGAUAAGCAUCUGUAACAGGAGACUGCCACUACAAGAGUUCUCUUUACGGAUUCAGAUGGGAGAAGAUCCAGCUACAUGGAUUGAUUCUUCAACACUGCCGGCAUCCAGGUAGCUCAUCAGCUUCAACUUUGCUUCGGUAGGAAUACGAGUGGGACGAAGGUUCUCGUCAAGCCAUACAACUACUGAUGUGCCCUCCAAGGCAAGCUGAGAGAUUAACAAGAAAUGCAGAAUCAGGACCUUUCAUUUCAGUUAAAAUGCCAUAACUUUUUCCUUGUGAAACAUUUUGCAGUUAAUAGCUGAUACCUCCUUGUUUGUAAGCUUGAAAAUGUAGUACUCGAAGCGCAUUCUUGUGGCCGAAACUUCUGAGAUUUUCAUUUUCAGAACAAAGCUAUCUCUCCGCUGCAUGUGCAAUGCAAUAAUGAGACAGUAUUGAAGAAUCA